This is a long non-coding RNA of Corvus hawaiiensis (hawaiian crow), 422 nucleotides long. RefSeq lists it as uncharacterized. The transcript has 3 exons. The record is from RefSeq and is a predicted model, not a curated record. Lineage: Eukaryota; Metazoa; Chordata; Aves; Passeriformes; Corvidae.
UCCACCGGUGCGCAAUGUAAGCCUGUCAACUUUUUAUUAUAAGAAGUCAUCACUCAUUUCAGUGAAGAUUAAAAGUAUGACUAAAUUGAGAAAAUCCUCUUAGCCAUUCGGAAUUUUAAUAGAGGAGAAAAGGGGCAGGUGAGAUGGGUGCUCAUGAAGUACCUCAUCCGAGGCCCUUGGGUUGGAAGGCGUGGAUGCAGAGAACCUGCUUUUCCCCACCUCCCUCUACAGGAAAAUAACAUAUCUGUACUCAAACCAAUAAAGAAUAUGCUGUAGAUAAAUUCAUACCAUACCAAUGGAGCGUAAGGAUUCCAUUAAUGCUUUAGUGAUAUUAUCAAGCAAGAAAAAGGCAAAAUGCAUCCACGACUCUUACUCUGCUGGGUCUGUAAUGAAGCAAUGUUGUAGCAGCUGCUAUAGUUUUU